Non-coding RNA from Megalopta genalis, 1511 nucleotides. Lineage: Eukaryota; Metazoa; Arthropoda; Insecta; Hymenoptera; Halictidae. The record is from RefSeq and is a predicted model, not a curated record.
CCGUAUUUUAACAAACUAUAUACUUAUUACCGCUGACAUCUCCGUUUGAUGUUAUGUUACCAUAAUUUUUAUUGAAACGUAAACAUUUCCCCUUUCGUUUCAGUAGUCAUUUAUAUCUGUAAGAGAUACGUGACAUAACAAUGUUAAAAAGAAUAUUAAUGUUCCAUGCGUUGAAAAAUGCGGUUGUUUUAUCUCGAGGUACCACUUCGUCGACGGCAAAGAUUAUAUUUCGAGGUAUGUCACAAGUCGGUAUCGAAAUCGAUAGAAAAUGGGAUUUGUUCGGUGCAGUUUGUUUAGAACGCCACCCAAUAAUUACAAAACCGAUGGAAGAUGUAGAAGCACGAUAUCAAGAGAUGUUAAAACAGAUAGAAUUAGAAAAUAGUUUAAUAUCGGAUUUUGAAAUCCAAAUGAAACAAGAACUAAAGCAUGAAUGGAAAAUUGGAUCUACGGAUGAAAGCAAAGAGAAAAUUAAAACUCAAACUUUACAAGAUAUCAGAGACUCUUACAAAGAAGAAUUAAUGAAAUUUCAGUUUGCAUCGCGAACAAAUGCCGAAGAAGAUGAUCAAGUAACAUCGUUGAAUCGUAAAUUGGACAAAACGUUGGUACUAUUGGUAAAUGAACGGAUAGGGACCGAUAAUUUCUGGAUUCCACCGCAAACCGUACAUAAAUGUACAGAAACUAUGAUAGAGACCGCGCGAAGAACCGUGGAAGAAUUUUGUGGUAAUAAUAUAGGAGUACAAUUUUAUGGUAACGCACCGAUUGGCUUUUAUACGUACAAAUAUCCGAAACAACUCGAGGGAAAGGAUGGAGCAAAAAUAUUCUACUUCCUAGCAAAAUAUAUAAACGGAGAUAUUUCUUCCAAAUUACAACACUGUUGGUUAGAUAGGGAAGAACUAGAAAAAAUUGUCCAUCCUAGACUUUAUAGAAGCUUGUCUCAAUUUUUGCUGCCAGAAUAAUUUGUUAAGCCUCUAUAUAUUUCUUCGACCGAGACAAAUUAGUUAGCAGAAUUUUCUGUGUUCGCACGGAUACGCGUUUGCUUGAAUCUUCAAAUUUCUGGAACAGAAGUUUCAAAUAGCUAUUGCAAAUUUAUCCAUGUUUUCGUUGUACAAGAUUAUUCAUAAAAACAAAUACAUAAUAUGUAUGUACACAUCUGAACAGCUUCGAAAAUACAAAUGCGAUAAAGUGCAUCGUAGAAGAAAUAUGUGGGUAAAAUUGAAAUACAGCUCUGGCAGACCUCGAAAGGCACGAGUACAACGUGGAAAAAAAUUGAAAUAUACGCUUCGAUGGUCGAUGCGAUUUUUUAUCAGCAUUGCAUAACCAUUGUAAAGCAGAGAUACUGAUCGCUCCGUCGAAACAUCCUGGUUUAAAUGGCAUUCCCUGUCCCAUAUCUCCUAUAAUUAAAUCACCCUCCACUUCUCUUUCCAAUGCUACGCCUGUCGAUAUGUAAUACCAAAAGACAGUUAAACAAGACAAGACGGUCAAAAAAUAUAACAGAUACAAACAAAUUAAAA